UUCAACAGCCUUCUCGCCUUCAGUGUCUC
RNAcentral lists this small RNA (29 nucleotides) under Bombyx mori (domestic silkworm). RNAcentral describes it as "piRNA piR-bmo-1759856". The record is from RNAcentral. Lineage: Eukaryota; Metazoa; Arthropoda; Insecta; Lepidoptera; Bombycidae.